UACGUAGGGAGCAAGCGUUGUCCGGAAUCAUUGGGCGUAGAGCGCGCGUAGGCGGCCCCGUAAGUCCGCUGUGAAAGUCAAAGGCUCAACCUUUGAAAGCCGGUGGAUACUGUAGGGCUAGAGUCCGGAAGAGGCGAGUGGAAUUCCUGGUGUAGCGGUGGAAUGCGCAGAUAUCAGGAGGAACACCAAUAGCGAAGGCAGCUCGCUGGGACGGUACUGACGCUAAGGCGCGAAAGCGUGGGGAGCGAACAGG
This 253-nucleotide ribosomal RNA is filed under the name uncultured bacterium. RNAcentral's name for it is "partial 16S ribosomal RNA". It matches the Rfam family "Bacterial small subunit ribosomal RNA", at positions 524 to 776 of the family's 1533-position model. The record is from RNAcentral.